This 425-nucleotide ribosomal RNA is filed under the name uncultured bacterium. RNAcentral's name for it is "bacterial SSU rRNA". It matches the Rfam family "Bacterial small subunit ribosomal RNA", at positions 88 to 507 of the family's 1533-position model. The record is from RNAcentral.
CGGUCGACCGGCGCAACGGGUGCGUUAACGCGUAUGCGACCUACCUAUAACAGGGGGAUAACACUGAGAAAUUGGUACUAAUACCCCAUAAUACUUCGGAAGGCAUCUUUUGGAGUUGAAAGUUCCGGCGGUUAGAGAUGGGCAAUGCGUUGUAUUAGCUAGAUGGUGAGGUAAUGGCUCACCAUGGCGACGAUGUCUAGGGGUUCUGAGAGGAAGGUCCCCCACACUGGAACUGAGACACGGUCCAGACUCCUACGGGAGGCAGCAGUGAGGAAUAUUGGUCAAUGGGCCGAGAGGCUGAACCAGGCCCAUGCCGCGUGAAGGUCACGGCCCUAUGGGUCUUAAACUUCUUUUGUAAGGGAGCAAUAAGGGUCACGUGUGGUCCGAUGAGAGUACCUUACGAAUAAGCAUCGGCUAACUCCGUG